RNAcentral lists this unclassified non-coding RNA (263 nucleotides) under plant metagenome. RNAcentral describes it as "partial contains small subunit ribosomal RNA, internal transcribed spacer 1, and 5.8S ribosomal RNA". The record is from RNAcentral.
UUUCCGUAGGUGAACCUGCGGAAGGAUCAUUAUUGUAUAACCGAGGUGCGAGGGCUGUCGCUGACCCGAAAGGUCGUGCACGCCCGAGUGCCCUCACACACAUCCAUCUCACCCCUAUGUGCACCACCGCGUGGGUCCCCCUUUGGCUUGUUCGGAGGGGGGCUUACGUUGUCACACAAACUUUGUAUGCAGUGUAGAAUGUAUUUUUUGUUUUUGCGAUCACGCAAUCAAUACAACUUUCAACAACGGAUCUCUUGGCUCUC